UGGGGUAUGGCUCAGUGGUAGAGCUGGUGCUUAGCACACAAGGUCCUGGGUUCAAUCCCUAGUACCUCCA
This 70-nucleotide transfer RNA is filed under the name Camelus bactrianus (Bactrian camel). It matches the Rfam family "tRNA". Rfam says of the family: Transfer RNA (tRNA) molecules are approximately 80 nucleotides in length. Lineage: Eukaryota; Metazoa; Chordata; Mammalia; Artiodactyla; Camelidae. RNAcentral also lists the same sequence under 2 other names. The record is from Rfam by way of RNAcentral.